GUUCCUUCCCUCUAUGUCCAGCAAAAAUAGCGUGAGAAUGUCUUGAGAAGCAAGGUGAUCAGUGGAAGGCGCUGAGUAGUUGAGGCUGCCAGCUGAAGUCCUGUGGCUUUGAGGAGAGAACUUUUAAAUCCUGGAGGUUUUGUACAAAAUCACCACUAUUCCUGACAGGAAAUCCACUUCUUCAGAGCCAUGCUCUCCUUUGUUGUAGGGCACAGGGAGGUGUUCCGGGCAUGUCCCACCGGGAGGAGGC
Monopterus albus (swamp eel) is the source of this 250-nucleotide long non-coding RNA. RefSeq lists it as uncharacterized. Lineage: Eukaryota; Metazoa; Chordata; Actinopteri; Synbranchiformes; Synbranchidae. The transcript is spliced from 3 exons. The record is from RefSeq and is a predicted model, not a curated record.